GCGCACCAGGCGAGAAUCGUUCACAAUGGGCGCAAGCCUGAUGGCGCGACGCCGCGUGUGGGAUGGAGGCCUUCGGGUUGUAAACCACUGUCACAGGGGAAGAAAGGCACGGAUGCUAACAUCGUCCGUGUUUGACGUUACCCUGAGAGGAAGCCACGGCUAACUCCGUGCCAGCAGCCGCGGUAAUACGGAGGUGGCAAGCGUUGUUCGGAAUUACUGGGCGUAAAGGGUGCGCAGGCGGUCUGUUGUGUUCGAUGUGAAAUCCCCCGGCUCACCCGGGGAACUGCAUCGAAAACUGACAGACUUGAGUGCAGGGAGAGGAGAGCGGAAUUUCCGGUGUAGCGGUGAAAUGCGUAGAUAUCGGAAG
This 367-nucleotide ribosomal RNA is filed under the name uncultured microorganism. Its description in RNAcentral is "bacterial SSU rRNA". It matches the Rfam family "Bacterial small subunit ribosomal RNA", at positions 346 to 703 of the family's 1533-position model. The record is from RNAcentral.